UCUUGAUGAUGACACCAUUUGAAACUGAGCAGCUUGUUUGUUGCUCAGUUGAUGUGAUUUUCAAGACGGGACUGAUUUUGAGAUUU
RNAcentral lists this small nucleolar RNA (86 nucleotides) under Sinocyclocheilus rhinocerous. RNAcentral's name for it is "Small nucleolar RNA SNORD21 (ENSSRHG00000012065.1)". The record is from RNAcentral. Lineage: Eukaryota; Metazoa; Chordata; Actinopteri; Cypriniformes; Cyprinidae.